This 253-nucleotide ribosomal RNA is filed under the name uncultured bacterium. Its description in RNAcentral is "partial 16S ribosomal RNA". It matches the Rfam family "Bacterial small subunit ribosomal RNA", at positions 524 to 776 of the family's 1533-position model. The record is from RNAcentral.
UACGGGGGGAGCAAGCGUUGUUCGGAUUUACUGGGCGUAAAGGGCGCGUAGGCGGCGCAACAAGUCACUUGUGAAAUCUCCGGGCUUAACUCGGAGCGGCCAAGUGAUACUGUCGUGCUAGAGUGCGGAAGGGGCAACUGGAAUUCUCGGUGUAGCGGUGAAAUGCGCAGAUAUCGGGAGGAACACCAGUAGCGAAGGCGGCUCGCUGGGCCACUCCUGACGCUGAGACGCGAAAGCUAGGGGAGCGAACAGG